RNAcentral lists this ribosomal RNA (439 nucleotides) under uncultured bacterium. RNAcentral describes it as "partial 16S ribosomal RNA". It matches the Rfam family "Bacterial small subunit ribosomal RNA", at positions 339 to 795 of the family's 1533-position model. The record is from RNAcentral.
CUACGGGUGGCUCCAGUGAGGAAUAUUGCACAAUGGGGGAAACCCUGAUGCAGCAACGCCGCGUGGAGGAUGACGCAUUUCGGUGUGUAAACUCCUUUUAUGAGUCAAGAAAAUGACGGUAGCUCAUGAAUAAGCACCGGCUAACUCCGUGCCAGCAGCCGCGGUAAUACGGAGGGUGCAAGCGUUACUCGGAAUCACUGGGCGUAAAGGACGCGUAGGCGGGCUUGUAAGUCAGGUGUGAAAUCCUACAGCUUAACUGUAGAACUGCACUUGAAACUACGAGCCUAGAGUAUGGGAGGGGCAGAUGGAAUUAGUGGUGUAGGGGUAAAAUCCGUAGAUAUCACUAGGAAUACCGAAAGCGAAGGCGAUCUGCUGGAACAUUACUGACGCUAAGGCGUGAAAGCGUGGGGAGCAAACGGGAUUAGAUACCCCCGUAGUC